Molecule: ribosomal RNA, 93 nt
Filed under: Staphylococcus schweitzeri
Lineage: Bacteria; Bacillati; Bacillota; Bacilli; Caryophanales; Staphylococcaceae
Source: RNAcentral
CACACCUGUUCCCAUGCCGAACACAGAAGUUAAGCUCCUUAGCGUCGAUGGUAGUUGGACUUACGUUCCGCUAGAGUAGAACGUUGCCAGGCU